UAGUGGGGGGGUAAGGCCUACCAAGACAAUGAUGCAUAGCCGAGUUGAGAGACUGAUCGGCCACAUUGGGACUGAGACACGGCCCAAACUCCUACGGGAGGCUGCAGUAGGGAAUCUUCCACAAUGGGCGAAAGCCUGAUGGAGCAACGCCGCGUGUGUGAUGAAGGCUUUCGGGUCGUAAAGCACUGUUGUAUGGGAAGAAAAGUUAAGGUAGGGAAUGACCUUAGCCUGACGGUACCAUACCAGAAAGGGACGGCUAAAUACGUGCCAGCAGCCGCGGUAAUACGUAUGUCCCGAGCGUUAUCCGGAUUUAUUGGGCGUAAAGCGAGCGCAGACGGUUGGUUAAGUCUGAUGUGAAAGCCCGGAGCUCAACUCCGGAAAGGCAUUGGAAACUGGUUAACUUGAGUGCAGUAGAGGUAAGUGGAACUCCAUGUGUAGCGGUGGAAUGCGUAGAUAUAUGGAAGAACACCAGCGGCGAAGGCGGCUUACUGGACUGUAACUGACGUUGAGGCUCGAAAGUGUGGGUAGCAAACAGGAUUAGAUACCCUGGUAGUCCACACCGUAAACGAUGAACACUAGGUGUUAGGAGGUUUCCGCCUCUUAGUGCCGAAGCUAACGCAUUAAGUGUUCCGCCUGGGGAGUACGACCGCAAGGUUGAAACUCAAAGGAAUUGACGGGGACCCGCACAAGCGGUGGAGCAUGUGGUUUAAUUCGAAGCAACGCGAAGAACCUUACCAGGUCUUGACAUCCUUUGAAGCUUUUAGAAAUAGAAGUGUUCUCUUCGGAGACAAAGUGACAGGUGGUGCAUGGUCGUCGUCAGCUCGUGUCGUGAGAUGUUGGGUUAAGUCCCGCAACGAGCGCAACCCUUAUUGUUAGUUGCCAGCAUUCAGAUGGGCACUCUAGCGAGACUGCCGGUGACAAACCGGAGGAAGGCGGGGACGACGUCAGAUCAUCAUGCCCCUUAUGACCUGGGCUACACACGUGCUACAAUGGCGUAUACAACGAGUUGCCAACCUGCGAAGGUGAGCUAAUCUCUUAAAGUACGUCUCAGUUCGGACUGCAGUCUGCAACUCGACUGCACGAAGUCGGAAUCGCUAGUAAUCGCGGAUCAGCACGCCGCGGUGAAUACGUUCCCGGGUCUUGUACACACCGCCCGUCACACCAUGGAAGUUUGUAAUGCCCAAAGCCGGUGGCCUAACCGUAAGGAGGGAACCGUC
Molecule: ribosomal RNA, 1217 nt
Filed under: Leuconostoc carnosum
Lineage: Bacteria; Bacillati; Bacillota; Bacilli; Lactobacillales; Lactobacillaceae
Description: bacterial SSU rRNA
Rfam family: Bacterial small subunit ribosomal RNA
Source: RNAcentral